Molecule: ribosomal RNA, 347 nt
Filed under: uncultured bacterium
Lineage: Bacteria
Description: bacterial SSU rRNA
Rfam family: Bacterial small subunit ribosomal RNA
Source: RNAcentral
AGGGUUCGAUCAUGGCUCAGGACGAACGCUGGCGGCGCGCCUAACACAUGCAAGUCGAACGGAAUUAUUUCGGUUGAAGUUUUCGGAUGGAAACUGAUUUAGUUUAGUGGCGAACGGGUGAGUAACGCGUGAGUAACCUGCCCUGGAGUGGGGGACAACAGUUGGAAACGACUGCUAAUACCGCAUAAGCCCACGGCCCGGCAUCGGGUUGAGGGAAAAGGAUUUAUUCGCUUCAGGAUGGACUCGCGUCCAAUUAGCUAGUUGGUGAGGUAACGGCCCACCAAGGCGACGAUUGGUAGCCGGACUGAGAGGUUGAACGGCCACAUUGGGACUGAGACACGGCCCAG